GACUAACGCUGGCGGCACGCCUAACACAUGCAAGUCGCACGAGAAACUUCGUAGCAAUACGGAGCAGUAAAGUGGCGAACGGGUGAGUAAUGCAUGGGUGACCUGUCCUCAAGAUGGGAAUAACCUCGCGAAAGCGUGGCUAAUACCCAAUGCCAUUUCGGUUUUACGGAUCGGGAUGAAAGAUAGCUGUUACAGGCUGUUACUUGAGGAGGGGCCCAUGUCCCAUCAGCUAGUUGGUAGGGUAACGGCCUACCAAGGCUACGACGGGUAGCUGGUCUGAGAGGACGACCAGCCACACUGGC
This 302-nucleotide ribosomal RNA is filed under the name uncultured bacterium. RNAcentral's name for it is "bacterial SSU rRNA". It matches the Rfam family "Bacterial small subunit ribosomal RNA", at positions 28 to 317 of the family's 1533-position model. The record is from RNAcentral.